AUUGAACGCUGGCGGCAGGCCUAACACAUGCAAGUCGAGCGGCAGCGGAAGGAAGCUUGCUUUCUUGCCGGCGAGCGGCGGACGGGUGAGAAAGGUAUGGGGAUCUGGCCGAAGGCGGGGGAUAACCACUGGAAACGGUGGCUAUUACGGCAUAAUCUUUAAGGAGCAAAGUGGGGGACCGUCUAGUCCUCAAACCUUCGGAUGAACCCAUAUGAGAUUAGCUAGUAGGUGGGGUAAUGGCUCACCUAGGGGACGAUCUCUAGCUGGUCUGAGAGGAUGAUCAGCCACACUGGGACUGAGACACGGCCCAGACUCCUACGGGAGGCAGCAGUGGGGAAUAUUGCACAAUGGGCGCAAGCCUGAUGCAGCCAUGCCGCGUGUAUGAAGAAGGCCUUCGGGUUGUAAAGUACUUUCAGUCGUGAGGAGGGUGUUAAGGUUAAUAACCUUAGCAUUGACGGUAGCGACAGAAGAAGCACCGGCUAACUCCGUGCCAGCAGCCGCGGUAA
Molecule: ribosomal RNA, 506 nt
Filed under: uncultured bacterium
Lineage: Bacteria
Description: partial 16S ribosomal RNA
Rfam family: Bacterial small subunit ribosomal RNA
Source: RNAcentral